AACGAACGCUGGCGGCAGGCCUAAAACAUGCAAGUCGAGCGCCCAGCAAUGGGAGCGGCGGACGGGUGAGUAACACGUGGGAAUGUACCUUUCGGCGCGGAACAACUCAGGGAAACUUGAGCUAAUGCCGCAUACGCCCUUACGGGGAAAGAUUUAUCGCCGAAAGAUCAGCCCGCGUUGGAUUAGCUUGUUGGUGAGGGAAUGGCUCACCAAGGCGACGAUCCAUAGCUGGUUUGAGAGAACGACCAGCCACACUGGGACUGAGACACGGCCCAGACUCCUACGGGAGGCAGCAGUUGGGAAUCUUGGACAAUGGGGGAAACCCUGAUCCAGCCAUGCCGCGUGAGUGAUGAAGGCCUUCGGGUUGUAAAACUCUUUCGACGGGGACGAUAAUGACGGUACCCGUAGAAGAAGCUCCGGCUAACUUCGUGCCAGCAGCCGCGGUAA
Molecule: ribosomal RNA, 447 nt
Filed under: uncultured bacterium
Lineage: Bacteria
Description: partial 16S ribosomal RNA
Rfam family: Bacterial small subunit ribosomal RNA
Source: RNAcentral